AGUGAAAAAAAAAUCUUUGGAGCACUACUUCAAAAUAGUUAUAAACUAAAACGAACGAAAAAUUAAUUCAAAAAAUUAAUAAUAGUAUCAGUUUAUCUCUCCCAUGCAUAUGCAUGCAUCUUGGCUCUCAUCCGAACAAUCAUCAUCUUUUGGCAUCUCAUUCUCUCCAACAGAUUCACAAUCGUCAUCUUCAUCAACAAUGGAUGUGGUGACAUCAACAAUGGAUGUGGUGACGCGAAGGUUCACUUCAAAUGGCCAAAUUCCUGCAUAACGGUCAGAUUUAGACAUUUUCAUGAUCUCCCUCGCAAAUUCACAUAUGGAAGGCAUAAUUUUAUCUAAUAGCUCUGAUGAUAAGAACAUUGAAGAGAAGGUUUCUUGCAAGUAUUUGAAUUUUUCUUUAUCAUCAUCAGUGGUGGGUUGCAAAUGACUAGGAACUUUAUACCAAGGAACAAAAAAAGUUUGGUUGACAGUAGUGACAGUAAAAGAAGAGAAUUCAUCAUCAAUAUGUGGCUUAGAGGUUGGUUUCGUGACAAUUUUUUUUUGUUGGAUCAUUUGAUUGGUACAAGAAAAAUUAAUACGGAAGCUAUUAUGGAAUGAUUUUUCUUCAGUUAUAAGCCAUAAAGAUGGUUUUUCAGAACAUGUGAAUUCUAUUGAAUAGGAAGUUGAUCUCUUAGCCAUGAAAACUUACUAUUAACUAAUAAACUAAAUUGAGGUGAAGAAAAAUUGCAGCUUUAGGAUCUUUUAUUUUUACUCUAAUGUUAUGGACUUAUGGUAAUAUAUAAUGAUUUUAUACAGCAUAAUCAUAAGCAUUUAUCUUAUCUUAUUAUCUUAUCUUAUUAAAUUAUUUUAGAUUUAAAAUCUUAUUUACUAAGUCAAAUAUGGUAAGAUUUAGAAUUUAGGAUUUGAAAAGACAAAUUAAAAAAAAAAAGAUUAGAUACAUCAUCUUAAAUUUGCAUUAUUAUAGAUAUUAUUUAAGUUAAUAAUUUUCACUUGUAAUGCAUUAAAAGUAGGAGAUAAAGAUUUGCCUAUAAACCUGAGAUGUCAAAUAUUAAAAUAAAAAUGUUCCAAACAACAAUCAAUAACAAAUUAAAAAUCAUAAAUCAGAACACCAAAAUUAGAAUAACAGCCAUAAAUCAUAAUCGGAACACAAAAAUUAGAAAUUUAGAAUCAACAAGACAAAACCAAAAUAAAAAAAGUCAAGGUCAGAACAAAAAGAAAUCAAAAUCAACAAAUAAUUAGAAGAAUUACCUGAGACUCGAGACUAAGGGAGGACGAAAAAUCCGAACACCAGACACGACAGUGAGACACGAAGUUGGAAAUGGAGGGACGAUGGAGACGAACGGAGCACGAGGGCGACGACAAAACCGAGGAGCAGGGGAAGUGUGUGGCUGCGAACUAUGAUGCUGAACGGCGUUGCGACUGUGAAGUUGUCCGUCACCGGCGAAGAGUGGAGAGUUUUGAGGUUACGGGCGUGAGCGUGGGUGAGUGCAGUCCUCUGGAGAGUGGAGAGUGUGUGUGGUGUGAUCUG
Molecule: long non-coding RNA, 1528 nt
Filed under: Arachis ipaensis
Lineage: Eukaryota; Viridiplantae; Streptophyta; Magnoliopsida; Fabales; Fabaceae
Description: long non-coding RNA (AIPA_LNC002411)
Source: RNAcentral